GUGAGUCAUCGAAUCUUUGAACGCACAUUGCGCCCUGUGGUAUUCCGCAGGGCAUGCCUGUUCGAGCGUCAUUUCAACCCUCAAGCUCUGCUUGGUGUUGGGCCCCGCCCCUGCGGCCGGCCCUAAAGUCAGUGGCGGCGCCGUCUGGCUCUAAGCGUAGUACAUCUCUCGCUCUAGGGUCCUGCGGUAGCUUGCCAGAACCCCAACUUCUAUGGUUGACCUCGGAUCAGGUAGGGAUACCCGCUGAACUUAAGCAUAUCAAUAAGCGGAGGA
RNAcentral lists this unclassified non-coding RNA (273 nucleotides) under Oidiodendron sp. RNAcentral's name for it is "partial contains 5.8S ribosomal RNA, internal transcribed spacer 2, and large subunit ribosomal RNA". The stretch from base 1 to 71 matches the Rfam family "5.8S ribosomal RNA", at positions 84 to 154 of the family's 154-position model. The record is from RNAcentral. Lineage: Eukaryota; Fungi; Ascomycota; Leotiomycetes; Myxotrichaceae.